GAUUGAGCCUUGGUAUGGAACCUACCAAGUGAGAACUUUCAAAUUCAGAGAAACCCUGGAAUUAAAAAUGGGCGAUCCUGAGCCAAAUCCUGUUUUAUUAAAACAAACAAGGGUUUCAUAAACCGAGAAUAAAAAAGGAUAGGUGCAGAGACUCAAUGGAAGCUGUUCUAACAAAUGGAGUUGGCUGCAUUGUGUUAGUAAAGGAAUCCUUACAUCGAAACUUCCAAAAGGAUGAAGGAUAAACCUAUAUGCAUACGUAUAGUACUGCAAUACUAUCUCCAAAUGAUUAAUGACGGCUCAAAUCUGUAUUUUUUUAUAUUUAUAUGAAAAACGAAAGAAUUGUUGUGAAUCGAUUAAAAAUUGAAAAAAGAAUCGAAUAUUCAUUGAUCAAAUCAUUCACUCCAUCAUAGUCUGAUAGAUCUUUUUAAGAAUUGAUUAAUCGGACGAGAAUAAAGAUAGAGUCCCAUUAUACAUGUCAAUAUCGACAACAAUGAAAUUUAUAGUAAGAGGAAAAUCCGUCGACUUUAGAAAUCGUGAGGGUUCAAGUCCCUCUAUCCCCAAAACGAAACGGUUGACUCCCUAA
RNAcentral lists this non-coding RNA (583 nucleotides) under Prunus brigantina. Its description in RNAcentral is "transfer RNA-Leu". The stretch from base 1 to 485 matches the Rfam family "Group I catalytic intron". From Rfam's summary of the family: Group I catalytic introns are large self-splicing ribozymes. They catalyse their own excision from mRNA, tRNA and rRNA precursors in a wide range of organisms. Lineage: Eukaryota; Viridiplantae; Streptophyta; Magnoliopsida; Rosales; Rosaceae. The record is from RNAcentral.